RNAcentral lists this ribosomal RNA (69 nucleotides) under Proteus mirabilis. Its description in RNAcentral is "partial 23S ribosomal RNA". Lineage: Bacteria; Pseudomonadati; Pseudomonadota; Gammaproteobacteria; Enterobacterales; Morganellaceae. RNAcentral also lists the same sequence under 1 other name. The record is from RNAcentral.
GGGUUGUGAGGUUAAGCGAAUAAGCGUACACGGUGGAUGCCUAGGCAAUCAGAGGCGAUGAAGGACGUG